UACGUAGGGUGCAAGCAUUAAUCGGAAUUACUGGGCGUAAAGCGUGCGCAGGCGGUUGUGCAAGACAGAUGUGAAAUCCCCGGGCUCAACCUGGGAAUUGCAUUUGUGACUGCACGGCUAGAGUGUGUCAGGAGGGGGUAGAAUCCACGUGUAGCAGUGAAAUGCGUAGAGAUGUGGAGGAAUACCGAUGGCGAAGGCAGCCCCCUGGGAUAACACUGACGCUCAUGCACGAAAGCGUGGGGAGCAAACAGG
Molecule: ribosomal RNA, 252 nt
Filed under: uncultured bacterium
Lineage: Bacteria
Description: partial 16S ribosomal RNA
Rfam family: Bacterial small subunit ribosomal RNA
Source: RNAcentral